RNAcentral lists this ribosomal RNA (169 nucleotides) under Croton masonii. RNAcentral's name for it is "5.8S ribosomal RNA". It matches the Rfam family "5.8S ribosomal RNA". From Rfam's summary of the family: 5.8S ribosomal RNA (5.8S rRNA) is a component of the large subunit of the eukaryotic ribosome. The record is from RNAcentral. Lineage: Eukaryota; Viridiplantae; Streptophyta; Magnoliopsida; Malpighiales; Euphorbiaceae.
AACACGACUCUCGGCAACGGAUAUCUCGGCUCUCGCAUCGAUGAAGAACGCAGCGAAAUGCGAUACUUGGUGUGAAUUGCAGAAUCCCGUGAACCAUCGAGUUUUUGAACGCAAGUUGCGCCCAAAGCCUUUCGGCUGAGGGCACGUCUGCCUGGGUGUCACGCAACAU